AUUAGAUAUUCUUUGUGGUAGGGGCCAUCUUUUUGGACGGCUUGAAUUUACGCAGCACUUGCAUGCGAAUCGCCUAUAUAAUUACGCGUGUUCAGCACCGACUAUCCAACAACAGCUACUCGCAUUAGGAGCCGUUGGAUUAAAAUGGACGGUCCACGUUAACAACCCGGAGAUUUAAAGCUUCGAUUCCGAAGCGUAGGUUUUCAAUCCAGCUCCAGUCGGCAGCUUCUCUUUUCCUGGAGGAAGAGAGGUUGCCUCUCCUCGUCCCUCAAGACCCUCCAUUUUCAGGUCAGUUGCCAGCAAUCCGGUCCGUUCAUCUCCUGGGCCCUACUGCGGCUGGACCAUGCCCCAAAAAUCUGGGAUAUUAGACGUUCCCAGUAGCUGGAUCCAUAGCGUCCAAGAUUGGCGGCUACGAUCAUCCGAAUCGCAGCGAUUUUUGGGGCAUGGUCCAUCCGUGGUGGGGAUCCCUAGGACUCCCUCAAAAGGCAUACAGAUCGGAAGAUGCCAAGGAGCUGUUAGGGUUUUGAUUUUUUAACUACGACGUGAUGGUCCACUCAACGGCCCAUUGUCACGAGUGAUUACAUUAUGAUGUUAGAAAUGACAAUGGUAGAGCACUUGAACGGGGUGUUUGGAUUGGAAGUUACUUUAGAUAAGCGGCAUAAGUAGCUUAUCUUGGUUUUUUACUUAUUAAGUAAAUAAGCUUGCUUGGUAAACAACGUACUUGUCAGCUAAAAAGUAAAAAAAGCAUGUUUUGUUUCCAACAUCACUCAAGUAUUUAUCUCUCGUUUUUGUUUGAUCCACCCUCAUAUUUACCGUGGAUCAGGUGGGGCCAACCUUUGAUGUGGGUUGUUCAUUGUGGGGCCGUGGGCCUCACCUUUGAUGUGGGCCCUACAUCAUGUAGGCCCACCUUGGACGUGUGCAUUAGGUGGGGCCAACCUUUGAUGUGGGUUGUUCAUUGUGGGGCCGUGGGCCUCUUUGAUGUGGGCCCUACAUCAUGUAGGUCCACCUUGGACGUGAGCCAUUCAUCAUGAGGGUCCGACCUUUAAUUUGCACCAUCCAUUAUGUAGGCGCCCCAUAGAUGUUGGUUAUCCAUGGUGGUCACCAUCAAUGUUAGUCCAUCGUGUGGGAUUCACCUUCAAUAUCCACUGCCCAUCCCGUCAACCAUCCAUCAUCUGAGCCCCACCUCUGAUGUUGGCUGCCCCCACUUGGAUGUGGGCCACUCAUCAUUAGGGCCGACCUUUGAUGUGGACCGUCCAUCAUGUGGGGCCCACCUUGACAUGGACCGUCCAUCCUAUGAAGCCCAACUUUGAUGUUGACUGUCUGUCAUGUGGGCCCCACCUUCACUGUGGACUGUCCAUUAUGUGGGGCUCGCCUUGGAUGUAGGCCAUUCAUCAUUAAGUACCAACCUUCGAUGUGGGCCGUCCAUCAGUUGGGCCCACCUCAAUGUGUGCCAUCCAUCAUGUGGGGCCCCACUUCAAUGUCCACUGCCCAUCAUGCGGAGCCCACCUUUGAUGUGGACUGUCCAUCAUGUAAGCCCCACAUUUGAAUUGGGUUGUUCAUCAUAUUCGCCUGUUAAUAUGGGGUCAUCUGUCAUGUGGGGCCCACAUUAACACGGUGUCAUCCAUCAUGUGGGGCCCACCUUUGAUGGGGACAGUCCAUCAUGUAGGGCCUUCUUCGAUAAGGACAGUGAGAGAGAGCCUCCUUUGACAUGGACUGGGAAUGAGAGAAAAAUAGAAAAGUAACAAGUCAACAGGUUUUUAAAAAAUUAUUGAAAUAAGUAGCUUUUAGCUUAUUUGGUGGUAUCCAAACAGGCCCAAAAGAUCAGGGAAGUUCUGCCUCAUCCUUAAUUUUUGCAGUGGUGCUGCUUGUCUGGGAGAGGUAAUUGAAUCAUGGGCUUCAGCUGUUGGGGCAACAUAGUUAUUUUAAACCCCUUUGCAAAUCUAAGAUUUCCAUCUGGUUUGAAUCACUGUUCUGGCUUUCUUUCCAGAAAAUCUGGCCAUUUCCCUCCUCAGGUGGGCCAUGGUUAAAACAAACCGUUAUGAAAGUCCAUCUGCUUUGUAUGCUGUUGCCCACUUGUGGUGUAAAAUGGUCUGUUUUUUGGAUAGAUCUAAACAGUGUAGCCCACAUGAUGGAAAGCUUGCAUUUUUCCUAGUGAUUUCAAAUUCUCGCUGCUGCAUGUAGGGUGCUCAUGUGUGUGUAGGGUCACAAAAUCUGGACUCCAACCUUGUCUUGAGGUUUGUUAGUGCCUAGAAUACAUGCUGACUGCUUGCAACAGGUUACGUCUGGACUUCUGCUGUUGGAAUGGUGUCCCUUUUAGUGUCCUAAACUGUUUAUAUGUCAUGCUUCCCUGUGGAUGAGGUAUGCCCAGAAAACCUCUUGGAUUGAAAUAUUUCAGUACUUUCAUUAUUCGAUUUUUAAUGAGGCCACCCGUAUUCAUACCAAAGGAGUGUGUCUGAUGGUAUUUUUUCCAGCUAUUCCCAUCCAAGGUGAGCUCAAUCAUAUAGAUGGUUUGGAUCAUGGAAAGAUGACACGGCCAGAUCGUAAGGGCGAAAGUCCAGAUGUAUCUGAUGGGAGCUUAUUGGGCUGUCUCAAGGCAACAUGUACUUGAUUUGCAUGGGGGAUGUACAUUUAUUUGAACCAGCUAUUCCCAUCUAAGGUGAGGUCAAUCAUAUAGAUGGUUUGGAUCAUGGAAACAUGAUCCCAGAUCCUAAGGGUGAAAGGCCAGAUGUAUCUGAUGGGAGCUUAUGGGGCUGUCUCAAGGCAACAUUUACUUGAUGUGCAUGGGGGAUGUACAUUUACUUGAUGUGCAUUGGGAAGUGGAAUCGGUCAAUCGCUUUUUCAUACAUUGCCCUUUUUUU
Magnolia sinica is the source of this 2858-nucleotide long non-coding RNA. RefSeq lists it as uncharacterized. The transcript is spliced from 2 exons. The record is from RefSeq and is a predicted model, not a curated record. Lineage: Eukaryota; Viridiplantae; Streptophyta; Magnoliopsida; Magnoliales; Magnoliaceae.